This 87-nucleotide transfer RNA is filed under the name Deltaproteobacteria bacterium HGW-Deltaproteobacteria-17. RNAcentral's name for it is "tRNA-Leu". It matches the Rfam family "tRNA". Rfam says of the family: Transfer RNA (tRNA) molecules are approximately 80 nucleotides in length. Their secondary structure includes four short double-helical elements and three loops (D, anti-codon, and T loops). RNAcentral also lists the same sequence under 2 other names. The record is from RNAcentral. Lineage: Bacteria; Deltaproteobacteria.
GCGGUCGUGGCGGAAUUGGUAGACGCGCUAGAUUCAGGUUCUAGUGGAUGUAUUUCUGUGAGAGUUCGAGUCUCUCCGACCGCACCA